ACAGAUACAUUUGGAUUUAUUCAAAAGAAGGACUGUGCUGUUUGUGCUUUCUGUUGGGAAAGUGUUGUUUGUCACACAUCAAGCGUUAGACGACAAUUUCAAACGAAGCAGACAAGACUGAAUCGAUCAAAAAGGCAGUAGCAGGAUAUGAGAAGCAAAGCAGUGUUUUUAAAUGCUUAAGUAAAAAUCAAGCCACAGAAGGAAGUUACAAGAUUGCACAGUGCAUUGCAAAAAACGGAAAGCCGUUUACAGAUGGGAAAUAUAUAAAAAGUUUUUCUCAGAAAUUCAGAGGUUUUGUUCAAUGAUUUGCCAAAUAAAGAUGCGUAUCUAGAAUAAAAGAACUGCCUGUCUCUGCCAGAACAGUUGAGACAGGCAUAAGUGAAAUGGCAGAAAACAUUAACGGAAAGCAGAAAACUGCAUUAAAAGACACAGCAGUGUUUAGUGUUGCAGUUGAUGAAAGCAUGGAUAUAAACGACUUUCCACAUUUGGCAGUUGUUGCAAGAUAUUGUGCUUCCAAUGAAAUCCAAGAGGAACUUUGUUGCCUAAAACGUCUGCAUGGCACAACAAAGGGGGAAGAUAUAGCGGAAACUUUUGUAAACCAUUUUGAAGAACGAGGAGUUGACAUCGGAAAAAUAUUUUGUGUGACAACAGAUGGUGCUCCUGCCAUGAUCGGAAAAAAAAAAAAGGGGGGGGGGGGGAUUUGUAAAGUUACCUGAAGAUCAAAUUGGCCGCCCGACACUCAAAUUUCACUGUAUCAUCCAUCAAGAAAACCUGUGUGCUAAAAUUUCUAAUUCAGAGCUUAAUAAUGUGAUGAAUACAGUGGUGCAAAUUGUGAAUAUCGUUGUUGCUUGAUCUGCUUUGACUAACAGACAGUUUCAAGCACUGCUAGAAGAAAUGGACAGUGCUCAUAAUGACAUUCUACUUCACAGCAACAUUUGGUGGCUAAGUCGUGGCAAGGUUUUGGUGUGCUUUGUAAACUGUUUUGAUGCAAUCAACGCCCUUUUGUCAGAAAGGACAAAACCACCCCGAACUGGAUGACGACAAAUGGCUGCAUAAGCUCAUGUUUUUAACUGACAUCACCACUCACCUACACGAACUCAACCUCCGUCUCUAGGGUGCAGGGCAAAUGGUUCUGGAUCUUUAUGAAAGGCAUCUGUUGUAAAACUAGCAGUUUUCUCUCAGGAUAUUUGAACUUCGACUUUCUGCUACUUCCAACACAUAAAAGAGCUACCGACACAUUGCACUGUCAGAGUCGAUGAGAUUGGAAUGUACAUGCAAGAACUGGAAUCGGAAUUUUCUGACAGAUUGCAAGAUUUCCAGCGAUUUGGCCCAAUGCUUUCUUUUCUAAUUAAACCUCAGAAGUUCAAUGAAUGCGACUUGGAUUUGUCUAUUUUCAGUGGAUAGGUGUUGAAGAUUUCGAAAUGCAGCUCAUGCAGUUAAAAAGCUCAGAAUUGUGGGCAUCAAAGUUUGGAGUUCUGCGGAGUGCACUUAAAGCUACCGAGAGAGAUCAUGGGGCCUCUAUUCUGACCUGAUGGAUGUCACUGCCAGUGAAAUUUAACUGUUUGAAGAAAAUUGCGUUUGCAAUGCUUUCAGCAUUUGGAUCCACACACCUGUAUGAACAGGUAUUUUCACACAUGAAAUCUGUCCUCUGUCCCUCUUGGAGCCAGUUAACAACUGAUCACUCAGAAGCCUGCGUGCAGCUUAAAGUUCCAAAUACGUGCCAGACAUUGGAAAACUCAGCAAGGAAAAGCAAGGGCAAGGGUACAAACAGUGUUGUUUCUAGUGAUGUGAACUGGAAUUUCCCAUCUGAACUUCAUUGCAAAUCUGUCCCGAUAUUUGGUGUUUUACUGAAACCCCCAGCUCCUGGAAUCACAUUAAAGCAUGAGAACCUCAGGUUUCAUAUUAAAAAGUUUCUGGUGUGAAAUACUGGCAAGACACCCACUGAUUUCAGCUGGACCCAUAUGGAGUUUUACCCAUAGCUUUUACGGUUGCGGAGAAGAGUUUAAAAAUGUGACCUGAAUGCACACUAAAAACUCAAACAGGACAGCAAAUUAAAAAAAAAAAAAACAAAAAAAACUUCUUUGAAUGUUUGAGGUUGGAAAUACUGCAUUUUUGUUCACUAAGCAGCCUACUGUUUGUGGCAGUAAGUAAUGACUGGCCAAAAUCCUGUGGCUGAAGGUUGGACUGUGCCAGGAGGCAAGUAGAGGAUGGUUUUCUGGUCACUGAGGCAAUGUCAGUUAGGAUUCUUUCUUCCAGUGAGCCCCAAACAAUCCCUGUCUACUCCAGCUGGGAGUCUCUUCUCUUCCCCCAGCACCAAACUCCACCCCUGUCCAAUCAAUUUCCAACUAUUCCUUCAAAUCAGGAAAGAAAGGCAAGGCUGCACACAGUGUGCAUCGGGGAGAAAUCUGCAUGGAACUCAGUUUCAUGAUGCAGCAGGACAGAUGAGCUGAAUAAAGCUGCUAGCCCUUCAGGAGUGGAUAUGGUCACCUAAUACUCAUCAAAGUUGGGAUAGUGAGUAAUGAGCCAAGUUUUGUCAGCUCCAGUUUAUCAGAGCUUCUGGGACAGUGUCUAAGGACUCAAUAAUACAAACUGUGUCUAUCAAGAAAGUCCACAAUUUUUAUAAAGCACGUUAUUAACAGUAAUUUCUAAUCAGUAACAGUACAAUUUAAAGAUUAAAGUUACCUUGAUAUUGUGUUUUUGAUGACCGCUGUGGUCUUUAGAGUCUGCUUGUAUUUUCCUCCUUUCUUUGUCCAUUUCUUUUGAUUCUUGAGAAUUGAAUAAAUCAGACCGUGAAGAACCACAUUCUCUAAGGAAAAUAAAAUGAUGUUUUCAGUGUUGGUAAGUCAUAUAGGCAAUGCUUAAGACUAUAGACUGUAUAUGUAUUGCAAAAAAAUCCCCAUAAAUAGAUGGAUCACAGAUAGCUUAGACAUAUUUAAAGAGGUGGUCAUGUAGCCAAGCUACCAAGCUCUUCAAAGUUCUUAGACUACUGACCAGCAAGAAAAGAACUAAGUGGACAGCACCUCUAAUCAAACAGCAAAGUGAUGUUUUCUAUAAAGAGCGUACAUUUAUACCAUUUCUGUCUACACAUAAAUCAUACUCAAUAUGCUAUAGCAAAUGUUGUUUCUGCUAUACAGAAAGGAGGUUAUGGAGGGAAUUUCUUCAGGUCACUAAUUUUUACAGGAAACUGGUUUUAAUUAUAGUUACUGCAUUCUUUUUUAUAAUGGCACAUGUCAUAAAGCUUACAAGUGUAACAGUAAAAUCUAAUGCAUCUUUUAGAGAAAAAAGUUUAGUUUAUAGGCAUGCACUUUAACACAGCUAAAUAAACAGUGACUAAGGUGGAGGGGGAACAAAAAUAUUUGAAGGGUCAAAUCCUAUAUUUUUCUAUAUACAGACCCAAAAGAUACAUUUGACUAGACUGGGAUUGCCCAAUAGAUGUACAUGUUAAACUUCAGUGAUGCUAAAAAUUAAUCUAUGAUUAUUACAUGUGAUGAUUGGUGCUCAAUUACUCCAUAUAUCUAGGAUUCAAUAUGGUUUUAACCCCUAGGGAUUUUCUGUGGUUUAGCUGAAUCUAAAUCUAAACUUUGCAUGCUUUAAAUGGAACAUAUUUCCCAAUCUGCUUCCCUAAUAGCUACAGUACUGCAACAGAGAUAGAAGGAAAGUUAGUUCUGUUUUCAGGAUUUUUUAGAUUUACAAUUUAUAGCAUGAGGAAACUAAAAAACUAAAGAAAACAAUCUAGAGGUAGUAGCAGUCAGCACAAAACAACUGAAAUAUAUUUUUUAAUUACUUUGUUUCCUACACUCCUCCACAACUACCCUUCAUUAUGAUUAAUGGGCAUUAGACACUGCUGGGUUCAGAUACUUGCCUCUUUCCGCCUUAUUUUUACUUGUUAGUGUAUAACAUAGUAAUUCAAGCAAACUCUGUGCUCUGUACUAUUUAAACAAACAUUAAAUUAACUUUAGAUUAAUUGAGUUAAUUUUUAUAAAUAAAAAUAAAUAUGUCUUUAACUUACUUUUUCUCAAAAAAUAUUUUCUUUCUUCUGUUUUUACUCACUUUCAGACCUAUAGAAAUUUAACACAGAAAGCACUAAUCCAGCAACUGAAAAAUGUUAAGUCAUUUGAAAGGAAAGUUGCAGUUUAAGGUACUUCAAGAUAUUUUCUGAAUACAAUAAAGACAGAAAAAGCUACCUUUAAUUUCGUCCAUUUCCUUCCUUAACUUUGUGUUUUGCAGAAUAAGAUCCUUAACUCGCUCAGGAAUAUUCUUGCAGAGUUCCUGGGCUCUCUCAUUAGCUUCCAGGGCCCAUUCAUGUUCUCCCAGCAACGAGAGCGCCUCACAGAAGCGAUAAUGACCCUAACGUGAAUAUCAAUUUAAAUUUUUUUACAAAGUGAUGAUUCUUUCAAAAAAGAAAAAUACUAACCUGUAGCCGAAAGUGUGUCUCAGUAGACUGAACAAGUUAAAGUUUUGACCUACUCAGUAACAUACAAGUUACUGUCUGUUCUAGCCAACUGUUGAAUGGCCAGUGUUACAUAAGAUUUGCCACAUCAAAACAGACUAAUGAUCAAUCAAGUCUAGUAUCCCAUCUCUGGCUUCAGAGAAAAGUGAAGAUGCCUUUCCCUAAACCCCAGUACCACUUUUGCACUUAAAUAGGGACAAUUACACAAUUGUUCAAGUCUUUUUAGACUAAACUUUGGGAAUGAGACUUCGUUCACUGUUGUGCAUAUUUUAUUAUGAAGUGUUGUGCAUAUUCUAAUGUUAUGUAGCAACAUAAUACGUGUUUUAUUUAUCACAACAGUGUUUUUAAAACGUACAAUAUAUUCUCUACCCUCCAGCCUCAUGCAUACAAAAACACCACCCAAUAAUAUUUAAAAAAAAAAAAAAACCAAUCUUUUUUUUUUUCCCCCAAAGUUUACUCUGAUUACUGAGCUGAGCUCCUGCCACUUCCAUGAGAGCUAACUGGAGUGGAGAACACUCUGCAUCUAAAAGGAUUGUGCCCUUAUAUCAGACACUGGGAUCUUGUAUUUAGACCAUUUGAUGUAUUUUUCUUUCUACUGUAAAGAUAGAGUUGUUGCCAAAUUUACAUUAAACUAACCUUUGGCCAAUUAGGCUUCAAAAUAGUGGCCCUUUUUCCAUCAACAAGAGCUUUCCUUUAAAAAAAAAAAAAAAAAAAAAGAAAUAUUUAUUA
Molecule: long non-coding RNA, 5179 nt
Organism: Chelonia mydas (Green sea turtle)
Lineage: Eukaryota; Metazoa; Chordata; Testudines; Cheloniidae
Exons: 2
Source: RefSeq, a predicted model, not a curated record